AUUGAACGCUGGCGGCAUGCUUUACACAUGCAAGUCGAACGGUAACAGGUCUUCGGAUGCUGACGAGUGGCGAACGGGUGAGUAAUACAUCGGAACGUGCCUAGUAGUGGGGGAUAACUACUCGAAAGAGUAGCUAAUACCGCAUGAGAUCUACGGAUGAAAGCAGGGGACCUUCGGGCCUUGUGCUACUAGAGCGGCUGAUGGCAGAUUAGGUAGUUUGUGGGGUAAAGGCUUACCAAGCCUGCGAUCUGUAGCUGGUCUGAGAGGACGACCAGCCACAUGGGAAAAGAGAAGCGGCGCAGGCUGCCACCGGAGGAAGCAAAGGGGAAUUUAGGACGAUAGGCGUAGGCAUAAUCCAGACAUGUCGCGUGAAGAAAGAAGGCCCACGGAUUGUACACAAGUUUUGUAGGGACCGAAAUGACAGACGCCAAAAGCGCCGGGGCAAGAGGGAAACGUAGAAAUAAGCACCGGCAAACUUCGUA
Molecule: ribosomal RNA, 482 nt
Filed under: uncultured bacterium
Lineage: Bacteria
Description: partial 16S ribosomal RNA
Rfam family: Bacterial small subunit ribosomal RNA
Source: RNAcentral